Molecule: ribosomal RNA, 465 nt
Filed under: uncultured Klebsiella sp.
Lineage: Bacteria; Pseudomonadati; Pseudomonadota; Gammaproteobacteria; Enterobacterales; Enterobacteriaceae
Description: bacterial SSU rRNA
Rfam family: Bacterial small subunit ribosomal RNA
Source: RNAcentral
CCUACGGGGGGCAGCAGUGGGGAAUAUUGCACAAUGGGCGCAAGCCUGAUGCAGCCAUGCCGCGUGUGUGAAGAAGGCCUUCGGGUUGUAAAGCACUUUCAGCGGGGAGGAAGGCGUUAAGGUUAAUAACCUUGGCGAUUGACGUUACCCGCAGAAGAAGCACCGGCUAACUCCGUGCCAGCAGCCGCGGUAAUACGGAGGGUGCAAGCGUUAAUCGGAAUUACUGGGCGUAAAGCGCACGCAGGCGGUCUGUCAAGUCGGAUGUGAAAUCCCCGGGCUCAACCUGGGAACUGCAUUCGAAGCUGGCAGGCUAGAGUCUUGUAGAGGGGGGUAGAAUUCCAGGUGUAGCGGUGAAAUGCGUAGAGAUCUGGAGGAAUACCGGUGGCGAAGGCGGCCCCCUGGACAAAGACUGACGCUCAGGUGCGAAAGCGUGGGGAGCAAACAGGAUUAGAUACCCGUGUAGUC